Picea glauca (white spruce) is the source of this 121-nucleotide non-coding RNA. The record is from Rfam. NCBI's taxonomy places the organism in Eukaryota, Viridiplantae, Streptophyta, Pinopsida, Pinales, Pinaceae.
GUACAUGUUUAUAGCAUAGCAUUAAUGCAUAGGAUCCCAUUCAAAUUCCAUAGUUAAGUGCGCUUGUGCUAGAGUAGUAUUGGGAUGGGUGACUGCCAGAGAAUUCCUAGUAUUUUAUAUG